RNAcentral lists this ribosomal RNA (465 nucleotides) under Vreelandella stevensii. Its description in RNAcentral is "partial 16S ribosomal RNA". It matches the Rfam family "Bacterial small subunit ribosomal RNA", at positions 338 to 795 of the family's 1533-position model. Lineage: Bacteria; Pseudomonadati; Pseudomonadota; Gammaproteobacteria; Oceanospirillales; Halomonadaceae. The record is from RNAcentral.
CCUACGGGAGGCAGCAGUGGGGAAUAUUGGACAAUGGGCGAAAGCCUGAUCCAGCCAUGCCGCGUGUGUGAAGAAGGCCUUCGGGUUGUAAAGCACUUUCAGUGGGGAAGAAAGCCUUGGGGCUAAUACCCUCGAGGAAGGACAUCACCCACAGAAGAAGCACCGGCUAACUCCGUGCCAGCAGCCGCGGUAAUACGGAGGGUGCGAGCGUUAAUCGGAAUUACUGGGCGUAAAGCGCGCGUAGGCGGUCUGAUAAGCCGGUUGUGAAAGCCCCGGGCUCAACCUGGGAACGGCAUCCGGAACUGUCAGGCUAGAGUGCAGGAGAGGAAGGUAGAAUUCCCGGUGUAGCGGUGAAAUGCGUAGAGAUCGGGAGGAAUACCAGUGGCGAAGGCGGCCUUCUGGACUGACACUGACGCUGAGGUGCGAAAGCGUGGGUAGCAAACAGGAUUAGAUCCCCCAGUAGUC